This 447-nucleotide ribosomal RNA is filed under the name uncultured bacterium. RNAcentral's name for it is "partial 16S ribosomal RNA". It matches the Rfam family "Bacterial small subunit ribosomal RNA", at positions 29 to 523 of the family's 1533-position model. The record is from RNAcentral.
AGCGAACGCUGGCGGCAGGCCUAACACAUGCAAGUCGAACGAUCCUUCGGGAUAGUGGCGGACGGGUGAGUAACACGUGGGAACGUACCUUUAGGUUCGGGAUAACUCAGGGAAACUUGAGCUAAUACCGGAUAAGCCCUUUUGGGGAAAGAUUUAUCGCCUUUAGAGCGGCCCGCGUUAGAUUAGCUAGUUGGUGGGGUAAAGGCCCACCAAGGCUCCGAUCUAUAGCUGGUCUGAGAGGAUGAUCAGCCACACUGGGACUGAGACACGGCCCAGACUCCUACGGGAGGCAGCAGUGGGGAAUCUUGCGCAAUGGGCGAAAGCCUGACGCAGCCAUGCCGCGUGAAUGAUGAAGGUCUUAGGAUUGUAAAAUUCUUUUAGCAGGGACGAUAAUGACGGCACCUGCAGAAAAAGCCCCGGCUAACUUCGUGCCAGCAGCCGCUGUAA